This 257-nucleotide ribosomal RNA is filed under the name Alexandrium monilatum. Its description in RNAcentral is "partial Bacterial small subunit ribosomal RNA". It matches the Rfam family "Bacterial small subunit ribosomal RNA", at positions 468 to 724 of the family's 1533-position model. The record is from RNAcentral. Lineage: Eukaryota; Dinophyceae; Gonyaulacales; Pyrocystaceae.
CUUGAUCGAUCCCUGGAGGAAGCACGGGCUAAGUUCGUGCCAGCAGCCGCGGUAAGACGAACCGUGCGAACGUUAUUCGGAAUCACUGGGCUUAAAGCGCGUGUAGGCGGAUUGGAGCGUCGGCGCCUGAAAUCCCCCGGCUCAACCGGGGAACGUGGCCCGAAACGACCAGUCUGGAGGGACGUAGGGGGGUCUGGAACUUCCGGUGGAGCGGUGAAAUGCGUUGAGAUCGGAAGGAACGCCCGUGGCGAAAGCGG